Molecule: non-coding RNA, 285 nt
Organism: Pelobates cultripes (western spadefoot toad)
Lineage: Eukaryota; Metazoa; Chordata; Amphibia; Anura; Pelobatidae
Source: the annotation of a GenBank genome assembly
GUUUAUUUUUCUUUGUGUUUCUUCUUUUCUUUAAAUAUUAUAAAACUUUGACAGACAGAAACCAUGCCACACUAGAAUGUAUGACAUUCGAACAAAUAGGUAACGGUUCAGCGCUAAAUAAUCUAAUAGAAACUAAAACAAGUGAGGAAGCAGCAACCUAUAAGUAUGAGGCUCCCUCAAAAAGCCUCACAGAUAAGGAAAUAGACAAAAAUUGGUAUAUAGGUCGCGCUAUGGAAACAAAGGGAUAAUAUAAAAAAAAAAAAUAACUAAAUAGUAAAAAGUCCC